RNAcentral lists this ribosomal RNA (504 nucleotides) under uncultured bacterium. RNAcentral's name for it is "bacterial SSU rRNA". It matches the Rfam family "Bacterial small subunit ribosomal RNA", at positions 338 to 852 of the family's 1533-position model. The record is from RNAcentral.
CCUACGGGAGGCAGCAGUGGGGAAUCUUGCACAAUGGGCGAAAGCCUGAUGCAGCGACGCCGCGUGCGGGAUGAAGGCCCUAUGGGUUGUAAACCGCUUUCAGCAGGGAAGAGGCCGCAAGGUGACGGUACCUGCAGAAGAAGCCCCGGCUAACUACGUGCCAGCAGCCGCGGUAAUACGUAGGGGGCAAGCGUUAUCCGGAUUCAUUGGGCGUAAAGCGCUCGUAGGCGGCUUGUUAGGUCGGGAGUCAAAUCCCGGGGCUCAACCCCGGCACGCUUCCGAUACCGGCAGGCUUGAGUUUGGUAGGGGAAAGUGGAAUUCCAAGUGUAGCGGUGGAAUGCGCAGAUAUUUGGAAGAACACCAGUGGCGAAGGCGGCUUUCUGGGCCAUAACUGACGCUGAGGAGCGAAAGCUAGGGGAGCAAACAGGAUUAGAUACCCUGGUAGUCCUAGCCGUAAACGAUGGACACUAGGUGUGGAGGGAAUAUUUCUUGCCGUGCCGCUAG